This 67-nucleotide transfer RNA is filed under the name Anallacta methanoides. RNAcentral describes it as "tRNA-Gly". The record is from RNAcentral. Lineage: Eukaryota; Metazoa; Arthropoda; Insecta; Blattodea; Blattellidae.
AUUUAUUUAAUAUAAAAAUAGUAUACUUGACUUCCAAUCAAGAAGCUUGUCCUACACAAAAUAAAUA